AAAUCCCGGGGGGUGCAACAGGGAGGAAUCCCCCCUAGUUAGGCCGAAUAAAUGGGGUUCAUAAAAGUCAAGAUAAGCCCGAGGUUUUUAAACAAAAGUUGGAAGAAUUGGUCGGGCAAGAGAACACCUCUCUGGAUAUGUAAUUUGGAAUUUCCCUUUUAAGAGAAAAGGCUAAAUUGCACUAAAGGGCCGAUAAGACCUUAUAAAACUUUACAAAAAUUUUAUUUUAGAAAAUUUAUAAAUAAAGAUAAAAUUUAAUUAUUUGUUAGGCUGGGGAGGCACAAAUAAAAUUUAUUUUAACUGUUUGAUAUUUAUACAAUUAUAAAUGGAUCCUUUUUAAGAUUAAUAAAUUAAGUUACUUUAGGGAUAACAGCGUAAUUUCUUUUGAGAGUUCUUAUCGAAAAAGAGGAUUGCGACCUCGAUGUUGAAUUAAAUAUUCUAUAUAGUGAAGAGGCUAUAUAAGAAGGUCUGUUCGACCUUUAAAAUUUUACAUGA
This 495-nucleotide ribosomal RNA is filed under the name Chinapotamon maolanense. RNAcentral describes it as "Chinapotamon sp. 1 XMZ-2018 partial large subunit ribosomal RNA". The stretch from base 366 to 495 matches the Rfam family "Bacterial large subunit ribosomal RNA", at positions 2473 to 2603 of the family's 2925-position model. The record is from RNAcentral. Lineage: Eukaryota; Metazoa; Arthropoda; Malacostraca; Decapoda; Potamidae.